RNAcentral lists this transfer RNA (73 nucleotides) under Ectothiorhodospiraceae bacterium. RNAcentral describes it as "tRNA-Thr". It matches the Rfam family "tRNA". Rfam says of the family: Transfer RNA (tRNA) molecules are approximately 80 nucleotides in length. The record is from RNAcentral. Lineage: Bacteria; Pseudomonadati; Pseudomonadota; Gammaproteobacteria; Chromatiales; Ectothiorhodospiraceae.
GCUGGCAUAGCUCAGUUGGUAGAGCAGCUGAUUUGUAAUCAGCAGGUCACCAGUUCGAGUCUGGUUGCCAGCU